This 1887-nucleotide ribosomal RNA is filed under the name Triticum aestivum (bread wheat). RNAcentral's name for it is "partial small subunit ribosomal RNA". Lineage: Eukaryota; Viridiplantae; Streptophyta; Magnoliopsida; Poales; Poaceae. The record is from RNAcentral.
UUCGUCCUCUUUAGGUCGGUCGGUCGUGGACGGGCCGCCGAGCAGGGGGCACGAGGUAAAGGGCAAGGCUAGUCUGUUGUGGGGCCCGUUCCGAGGAGCCUUUUUUAUUUAACUUUGUCGGAGCCAGCAGGCAGGGGUCGGGGGCCAGGGAGUUGGUUCUGGCUUUUAGGAGGGGCGCCGCAGCAGCCCCCGUCGCGGCGGGUCUAGGAGGCCGGUACCUGCCCGAGGACAGGUUCGAGGCCUCGGACCUGCGCAUGGGGUUCCACUUGCUCCUGAAGAUGUCGGCGUGGGAGAGGCCGCCGCGGUAGUGCGAGCGGAGGAGGAAGUAGUACGAGGAGGAGAAGCAGAGGCUCGAGGCUAACAUAGAAGUACGUCAAUGUCUCUGUUGUGAUUCCCAACUAUGGAGUUCUCCUCUUUUUGAAGCGUAUUUAAAACUAUAGUGGAAAGGUCGGGAAGUCACAAGAUAUUAAUCACAACUACACUACCUGUAGUCACCUGUUCUCGUGGAACUACACUUUGUACUACAUAAGUUCGUCGCUUAGCUACGUGUGCCGUUACAAUAACGUUGAUUCGUUCUACGUCAACCACCAUACUUCCACCUUUUUGGAAAUGUUGUAGUACCACCUUCCGAACUUGUGUUACUCUGGAUAACACCGAGUACAAUACCACGUGUUCUUAGAGGACUUGUUACAACAUUGAGCACACUUCUACAGGCACUUCGUAUGUCUUUUUUUCCAACCCCGCAUAGUUUAGGUCUAAGCUAGCUAGUCACGUUUUCGCUCCCGAAGGAAGUUUGUUAUUUCCUACUUCUUCCACUUCCGACGUUGUAAAUACCGUAAGACCUUUAAUUAUUCCAACGACCCUUAAAGGUGAAACGAGGUCCCUUUUCGAAGGUCGUCAGUUUACAAGUACAAGUGCUAGACGAAGGUAAGGUUUUCCUAUCGAAGUUAGAGUCGGUAUUCUAUUUAUUUAACUCAAAACCUCUUGGGAAAGGACCACACUAGUUAGGGGAACUGCCCCGCGUUACCUAGGUCGUAAGUAGCAUACCUUACCGAGUUAUGAAACAAUUCCAACAAGGGUGACAUAUGUGAGUGGAUUUACUCGUUUAAUAAGAGAGGUUAGUCAAAAGACACUGUCUUGUAAGGUCUUCACCGCUAUCACCAGCCCAUGUUCGAGAAGGACCGCACAAAAAGAAAAUACUGGAAAGUGGUUAAUUCCAGUGUAAGUGCCUCGCGGUACACAGUAAGAAUGUGAAGAAUUGAUUACAUACGCGAUAACAACCUCCACACAAGUGACAAAGACCCUAGUAUCUAAGCAAACAGAUGGUACCGGUCUCCCGUUAGUGAUUCUUCUCCCUUGAGCCGUUUAAGUGGACUCAAAAGUUAGUUCGGAAGGAUAACGACAUCUUGGAGGAAAACUUACUGAGAUCAGACAUCGACGUCAUCUUUCGCUCAGAAGACGUUUCAGGAUUUUCACAUGUUGACUUGGUUGUCCGUCCAGAGAAGCAGUGUCGAACACGAGACCUUGAGGACCACGCGACGGACGAAUGAAGGCCGACUUCGACGGUCGUAUGUUUUACCGAGUAGACCACAUGACACUAUAACCAUAUAGCGAGUCCGUUUACCUUGUAAAGUCUCCACGAGUUAAAAACAUGUGAAGUCAGGUGUUCCUGUUUUCAAAACAGCAAGUUUUGACGUUCAAAAACAUAGAAACAUUUAGGCACAUUCGCCCGACAUCUGACAUGUUAUGAGUACUGUCCAAAAUAAAAAGAAUCUGUAAAACAUCGAGAAUGUCCGCUCCAGUUUUUUUUGCGUUUCUGGUAAACUUGCUUUGAUUCAAGUUAAACAGUCCCACAAAAAGCAUUGAAGAGAAGGACAAUUGGAAAAC